CCUUUCAUAUAUUCUUUUUUUUGGCCCUUGCUUUAUGAUUUAUGCUAGAGGAUAAAAAUCUAGGUUCUCACAUUCUGCCCCCCCUUAAGAAUAAUUUCAUCCUCGAAAAUUGACAUACUACAAGUUGAGACCUUAAGGGUUCAAACUUCAUAUCGUAUCCUUGACCACCUAAAAAAAAAACUUUCUUCAUUCGAAAAGAAAUUACAAAACUCUAUAUAUCA
Molecule: long non-coding RNA, 221 nt
Filed under: Elaeis guineensis (African oil palm)
Lineage: Eukaryota; Viridiplantae; Streptophyta; Magnoliopsida; Arecales; Arecaceae
Description: long non-coding RNA (EGUI_LNC048065)
Source: RNAcentral